UACGAAGGGGGCUAGCGUUGUUCGGAAUUACUGGGCGUAAAGCGUGCGCAGGCGGCCUUCCAAGUCAGGGGUGAAAGCCCAGAGCUCAACUCUGGAAUUGCCUUUGAGACUGUGAGGCUUGAGUACGGGAGAGGUGAGUGGAAUUCCCAGUGUAGAGGUGAAAUGCGUAGAUAUCGGGAGGAACACCUGUGGCGAAAGCGGCUCACUGGACCACAACUGACGCUGAGGCGCGAAAGCGUGGGGAGCAAACAGG
Molecule: ribosomal RNA, 253 nt
Filed under: uncultured bacterium
Lineage: Bacteria
Description: partial 16S ribosomal RNA
Rfam family: Bacterial small subunit ribosomal RNA
Source: RNAcentral